This 253-nucleotide ribosomal RNA is filed under the name uncultured bacterium. RNAcentral's name for it is "partial 16S ribosomal RNA". It matches the Rfam family "Bacterial small subunit ribosomal RNA", at positions 524 to 776 of the family's 1533-position model. The record is from RNAcentral.
UACGAAGGGGGCUAGCGUUGUUCGGAAUCACUGGGCGUAGAGCGCACGUAGGCGGAUUGUUAAGUCGGGGGUGAAAUCCUGAGGCUCAACCUCAGAACUGCCUUCGAUACUGGCAAUCUCGAGUCCGGAAGAGGUUGGUGGAACAGCUAGUGUAGAGGUGAAAUUCGUAGAUAUUAGCUAGAACACCAGUGGCGAAGGCGGCCAACUGGUCCGGUACUGACGCUGAGGUGCGAAAGCGUGGGGAGCAAACAGG